UUNAAGGUCUAACCUGCCCAAUGAGGAUUUAAAUGGCCGCAGUAUUUUGACUGUGCAAAGGUAGCAUAAUUAUUAGUUUUUUAAUUGAAAGCUUGUAUGAAGGGUUGGACGAGAUAAAAUCUGUCUUUAUUUAAAUUAGAGUAAAAUUUAACUUUUAAGUCAAAAGGCUUAAAUGUUUAUAAAAGACGAGAAGACCCUAUAGAUCUUUAUUUAUUUAAGAUUUUAAUAAUUUAGGAUUAUUUUAAUUUGAAGUUUUAAAUAAAUUUUAUUGGGGUAAUAUAAAGAUUAAAUAAAUUCUUUUUAUUUAUUACAUUGAUUUAUGAAUAUAUGAUCCAUUAAUAUUGAUUAUAAGAUUAAGUUACCUUAGGGAUAACAGCGUAAUUUUUUUGGAGAGCUCAUAUCGAUAAAAUAGUUUGCGACCUCGAUGUUGGAUUAAAAAUUAGCUUGGGUGCAGAAGCUCAAGAUUUUGGUCUGUUCGACCAUUAAAUUUUUACAUGAUCUGAGUUCAGACCGGCGUAAGCCAGGUCGGUUUCUAUCUUUAUUUAAAUAAAAUGUUUUAGUACGAAAGGACCAAAUAUUUAAUAUAGUUAUAUUUAUUUAUUGAAGAAUAUU
This 612-nucleotide ribosomal RNA is filed under the name Cicindela (Rivacindela) sp. JP-208. RNAcentral describes it as "partial 16S ribosomal RNA". It matches the Rfam family "Bacterial large subunit ribosomal RNA", at positions 1846 to 2739 of the family's 2925-position model. The record is from RNAcentral. Lineage: Eukaryota; Metazoa; Arthropoda; Insecta; Coleoptera; Carabidae.